GUGCCAGCAGCCUCUUUACUACUUAGGGGGCGAGCGUUACCCGGAAUUACUGGGCGUAAAGGGUGCGUAGGCGGCCCUUUAAGUCGGAUGUGAAAGCCCGCGGCUUAACCGCGGAAUGGCAUUCGAAACUGGAGGGCUUGAGUGUCGGAGAGGGUAGUGGAAUUCCCAGUGUAGCGGUGAAAUGCGUAGAUAUCGGGAGGAACACCAGUGGCGAAGGCGACUACCUGGACGACAACUGACGCUGAGGCACGAAAGCUAGGGGAGCAAACAGGAUUAGAUACCCUGGUAGUCCUAGCCGUAAACGAUGGGUACUAGGUGUAGGUGGUUUCGAUACCAUCUGUGCCGCAGUUAACGCAAUAAGUACCCCGCCUGGGGAGUACGGGCGCAAGCAUGAAACUCAAAGAAAUUGACGG
Molecule: ribosomal RNA, 413 nt
Filed under: uncultured bacterium
Lineage: Bacteria
Description: bacterial SSU rRNA
Rfam family: Bacterial small subunit ribosomal RNA
Source: RNAcentral